RNAcentral lists this long non-coding RNA (297 nucleotides) under Gallus gallus (chicken). Lineage: Eukaryota; Metazoa; Chordata; Aves; Galliformes; Phasianidae. The record is from RNAcentral.
CACCUGGUCGUUGAGCCAAUUGGGGCCAUAGAGGGUCUGCAGGUCGUCCAUGGUCAACACGUGCCGUUUGUAGCUGACCCGGAAGCCCCGCAGCAGCGCAUUGCCGGGCAGCCGCUGGUAGGACUGCAUCAGCUGCUGCACAGAGCCUCUCCUCUGCGGGGUGCUGAACUCCUGCUGGAAGAUGUCCUCCAGCUUCUCCACCACUUCGUCGGCGCUGACGGGGAUGAGGCUCCCGUAGGACUGCAGGAACUCGUCCAGGAUGCUCUGGAUGCAGGUGACGUGCUCCUCCCGCAGGGG